AUGGAGUUUUUGACUCAGCCAUUCGGCAGAUCCAGUGUCAUUGAAGAAGUAGGAGAGAGCUUGGUGCCGUCCCCUGUGGCGAGGGCGCCGACGGGAUGCGGUAUGCUGGAGGAGCCGAGUAUGGCGGUCAGAUCCACUGUCCUUGAGGAACUAGGAGAUUGCUUGAUGCCGGACGCUGUGCUGCCUUGUCUGAGGGGAGAUGGUACGGUGGAAGAGCAGCAAGUGGCUGAGCGGCCAGGAGCGGUUGACAGCACGGACGCUCAGGUUUUCGCCGCCAAUGAAGCCCUGGUGUGCAGGAGGGAUAAUUCACCUCCAGCGUCGGAGCUGUCAACUAUGAAGAUGAAUCUCCUGGUUGGAACUAGAGGCUGA
RNAcentral lists this ribosomal RNA (369 nucleotides) under Triticum aestivum (bread wheat). Its description in RNAcentral is "partial small subunit ribosomal RNA". The record is from RNAcentral. Lineage: Eukaryota; Viridiplantae; Streptophyta; Magnoliopsida; Poales; Poaceae.